UAAAACCCCUAUUUUUCCCACUGAAACCCUAACUUUGCAAACAGGCCUUCUCUCUCGCUUUCUCUUCCUCCCUCCCUCCCUGCGACAUUAUAACAAAAAUCUCAAAAAAAAAUUUAACAAGAAGAGAUUAUAUUCAAAAAGAAAAAAAGAAGAGGAAAAUGGAGGCACCAAAGACGAUUCAGCAUAAAAUGGAAGCAAUAAGCUGAUGAUCUGUUUGUGAGAGUCGGAAGAGGACCAGUUCACUUUUACGAAAUAUGCUUGAUGUUAUUGAGGAAGUACAGAUAGCACGGUUAGAAAUUAGGGGUCUGAUUCUUACUAGCUUCCGUUCUCCAUCUGGUACACUAUUAUCUCCACUUUAUUAUGUUUCUUAAAUUUGUGGUUGUGAUGCCGUGGGCUGAAAUUCUUGCUUUGAGAAUUUGACUUUGAUUCUUUUCUUCAGGAAAACAAAGUAGAGAUGAUGGAUGACUAGAUCAUAUUUCUUGUUUGAUAUAAUGCCAUUUGAAACCUAUGCAUGCUUAUCCUGCUACGAACUGUUUUACUUAUUAUUUUGUUUUAAUUUAUUGGAAUGGAGCUUAGCGUUUUGGGCGCUCUUGUUUUUAUUUAUGAGUGGCAGGAUAUAAGUCAUAAAACUAGGGAAGGAAAAGUUUUUCUAUUUCCAGGACUCUUUCUUCAGUUAGUUUAACAUAUUCAAGGUAAAGGCUUUUAAUGAUAGCUGGUGCAAGACCAUUCAAAGUUUUAAUGUUCCUCUCUUUUCCGGUUUGUUUAAGUGUGGUUGUAAAAAGGUUUGGCAUAGCCCACACAUGGCUUGGUGAAGUUAAAUCUAUGCAAAAAUGGUUAGUGUUGAUUAAAAUUAAAAAAUGCAGUAAACCGUCUUUUAUCUUUGGUUUAUUGAAUUCACAGAUAUUGUUGAAAACUAGUCAACAUAAAGUAAUUUAUGUUCACCACUUUCUAUCCACAUAUCAUUUAAGGAAUUUUAUCCUAUUUUUAUCCUAUUUUUGACUGAUUUUUUCCCUCAUCAUUUUGUUUGCAUUUGUUGACAAAUAUUGUGUUUUAAAAAUUUCUAUCCUGUGAAUUUAACAAGCUCUUUGUUGAAUUACUGAGCAAGUUCUAAGGGGAAGACUGAUGUUAUGAAAAAGAUUAAGUUUCCACAGAUGGAGUAGAAAUCUGCUAGUAAAACUGUUCAACGACAAGCAAAGAGGCAGCACUACCUUGUCCCAUAAGAGAAAUUUUGGAAAAGGAAAAGAAGGUGGUGGAUCUAUUUCCUGAUGCUACUCUAUUGUUGGUGGAUCUGUAAAUUGAAGUGGAAGUGCUGACUGUUCAAUAUAUAGGUUCAUAGUUCUCAACUUGUUGUUAAGUUUAUGUGUGCAUUGAUGGUUAAUGAUAAUUGUUAAAAUGGAUUUGAAUUGCUUAUUUUGAUGAUGAAAUCAUUAAUUCUCAAUGGCCAGAGGAAAUGCCUCUGUGCCUGCCAUGGAAAUGACCAAGUGGCUUGACACCAACUAGUAAGUUGCUAUUUCUUGGCCUAUUUUAUCAGCUUUGCUAUGCAUACUGAGAUUUUGGUACUAAUACUAAUUCCCAAUUUUCAAUUGCAAUCCAUCUAAAAUAGCCUUUUUAUCUCCAUUCGAUAUAUAACGUUGUUGGCCUUUUCAUUUUUAGGCAUAUUCAAAGUCUACAGUUUACAUGAGCCAUGCUUCGUGUGACAACAAACAUCGCUCGGGAAGGUCUCGUUAUUGGUUCCUAACGUUUUUGCACUUGCAAAGUUUAUGAAUGUUAGUGAAGAUGAGAGUCAACUUUCUGCCGUAUAUGGAUAACUCCAAUAUAGUGCAGAAUAUAAGAGAGGUGCAGAGGGAUAGAGCUGCAGAGCUUUUGGGCUUGCGUGCAUGCAAUUUUCGGCCACGACACUCAAGCAAACUUGGAAAUGAGUUUCGGGUGUUCACAAACUAUGACGCUGGGGAGAGAUUAGGAGGAUGGGAGCAAGAACAAUAGGUGCCUUUUUCUUGCCAUCGUUUGCUAGGAAUAUUUUCUCAUGGAUGAGCUUCAUGGAACCUAAUUUUUAUCCACUAUCAAGGCAUUUCCAACACUUACCCUUGGAAAAAUUAACCAGCUUUUCUGCUAAUUUUCCCAGAGAAAACAUGAAAACAUGCAGAUGAGAAAACUUCCAAGCAAGCUCAUCCUCAUAUUAUGCAUUUUGGUCUACUUUUUUAAACUAGUGCAAUUUUCCUCACUUGUGUAGAUUUCGUAAUACAUAAAACUAUUUAAGGUUGUUUAAAGUUGUACUGACUCAUGCCUACUCAUUGCCAUUUUUAAAUGUAAUUUGUCUGUUGUUCCAAAACGCACAAUACAGAUGGAAGAAGCCAUACAAGUUUCUCA
Gossypium raimondii (Peruvian cotton) is the source of this 2367-nucleotide long non-coding RNA. RefSeq lists it as uncharacterized. The transcript has 6 exons. Lineage: Eukaryota; Viridiplantae; Streptophyta; Magnoliopsida; Malvales; Malvaceae. The record is from RefSeq and is a predicted model, not a curated record.